CAUAAUAACGAUGACCACUUGGACACUCCAAGUGGUCGGACGAAGUCAAACUAUCAAAGUCAGGACCUGUAGAGUGCUUUACUUUCCCCUUCUUCCCCGGCUUGUCCCCGUCCCAGUCUUCUCUAUUUUAGACUUUAAACAACCACAUCCAUAACCCAAUUUCAUCUUCCCAAAUCCAAAUUUUGUUGGUAUGUUUUCCCUCUCUCCUUCUCUCCUCACUUGUUUAUUUGUUACGCUAGUUCACACUUUUUCUUUCUAUUUUUUUUUUGUAUUUUUCUAUUUUGUCCAAUCGAUUUUCACUGUUGUUUGAUUCAUCUUCUUAUUUUUGCAUUUUUCUUUAUAAUUGUCUGAUGAGUCUUUUAUUCUUUUUUCACUUUUCUAGUUGAUUUUUGAUCGGAUCCGAAUUGAUCUAGGAUGGAUCAGAUGACUCGUCCAUUUUUGGACAACUCAGAGAUGAUUCAAUUCAAGUCGACUGAGUUUGUCAGAGUUCUCGGCAAGUCUUCCGUCACCGUGGCAACGUGGACUGGGCACGGGCCGGAGUCCUCCAAUCUAGUGAUGACUCGGUCAGAUCUUUGAACCAUGACUAUGCUAUGUUUAAUGUAAUUUUUUCCAACAGUGCACAUUUCAUGGAAUGAAAUAUUAUAUUUUAUCAAAAAAUAAAUAUUGAUUUGUAGUCACGUUUCAUUCUAUAGUUGUUCAUCUUCUAAGUAGGGAGGACAAAUAGUAGAUUAAGUCAUGUAAUUGGAUAUAUAGUUUGGUAGAGCCAUACAGGAGCGCACGAAACAGGCCCCCGAAACAAAGAUAAUUUGUAGCUCGUUAUUAUAUACAGGACAUGCAAUUAGUGCAACUUAAGUUGAUCCAAGGUGGGUUUCUGAUUAAGUCUGGAACUUCGUUGCACUUGCACAUAUUCCAUGUACUUCAUUGGACCAUAAGCGGCUGGAGUUUCACGCAGUAGCUGUGGAGCAGGGGUGACAAUGGUGUCGGGUGAUGGACCGUUGGCCACCACCAAGGACAUUCUUGUCUUUUUGUUAUUCAAAACAGCUCUGUGCCAAACGCUCUUGUACUUUCCGUUGCUCAUUAUCUGGUAACGACAAAUGAAAUUCACAAGUAAAAAAUCAGUCUUUUCUUUCUGAUUGAUUCACGUGGUACUUAAUUUUUUCCUUAAAUAUAUGUCUACAUGUUUAAACUAUAUACAUAUAUAUAUAUAUAUAUAUAUAUAUAUAUAGUUCAAACUUACCUCGAGCUGGUCCGCAGUGUUGACAAAAAUGGCGCCUGGAAUGCCAGUAAGCUGAAACCACUUUCCCUUAUUCUGUAUCUCAAGGCCUUCUACUCCAUUCUGAAGGAGAAAGGUCAAGAGGCCAGGAUCUGUGUGGGGUGGAAUGCCUAUUGCUAAUUCAGGCUGAGGACAGGGAGGAUAGUAGUUUGCGGCAAAGAUUUGAGUACUUGAGUCCAAUUCCAUGGCUUUCUCAAUAUAAUCUUCUUCCAGGCCAAGGCUUUGUGAUAUCCCUCCAAGUAAUUUCUUUGCCAAAUCUCGGGUUCUCCGAGAAUAUUCCAGGACAAUAUCACUACAAUAAUAGUGGAGCCGAGGAUUUUUUUUAUUAGCAAAAAAUUAGUGUAGUAAUACGAGUGCAACGAUACAUUAGUCUAAUGACUAAAAUUGAAACUCCACAAUUUAGAGAUUUUGAAUUUGAAUCUUAUUUUCUCUAUUCUCAUUUCUUAAAUCCCACACCCCCGCUAAAAUGAACUAAGAAGAAAAAACUAGUGUAGUUGUACAAGCACUUGAUAUGGCUCACAUUCACGGACACCCGGAAUAUACUACAUGCUUGAUGAGCAAAGAGCCCAAAAAACUUUGUUAAUCUAUCGGAGGUUGAUCAAAUGUUAGAAAUGAAUCGUUGAAGGAUCAUAAUCUAGGAAUGAAAUUUACAUUUCCAUCUUCCAUUCACCAUCAUCCCAAGCAACGGGAGGCUAAGUGUUCUGAAGUUGAACAAAUUAUCAAGUGCAGCCAGCAAACUGCUUUCUUGAUGCAUAAUGAGCGCGUUUACAUAUAUUAUUAAGAGUAGAAAGAAGGAACAUCUCUACCUCAACGCUUUGGGUUUAGUGGGACAGUGAUACUCUGGAUGCACGAAAAACCUCAAAUAAUCCCUCCAUAACUUGACUUUCUGGUUGCAAUCAUUGCCAUCAAUGGUGCCAGAUCUGACCAUGACUGGAUAUAAAGGAUGUUUGUUUUCGAACUGCAACUUCUCCUUCUCUGGCAUAUCGAAAAACUCAUUACACACAUUAAACAAUGCGCUGAUUAGGUUUUCCGGUAUGCCAUGAUUUACCACCUGCAUGGAUGGAUACUCAUGCACGUCAACCAAACGUUGUAAAACCAUAACUAGCAUAUGCAAAGAGCAUUGGUACAACAAGCACAACUCUCAGAAGAAAGCAUUCGUUUGGAUAUUAAUUCUUAAGGAGCAUGCAUGCAUGCAUACAUACACACAUACAUAUAAAGCUAGAUUCUCGAUUAAUGCUAAUGAGUUCAAUGGAGAAGAAAGUUGGUUGAUUACCAAGAAGAAGCCCCAUUCCUCGCAGGCUUUACCAAGGUCUAGGAUGACUUUGGCACGUUCAUCAGGAUCUGUUGAGCUGAGCAGCGAAAAGUCAAUGACGGGAACUGAAACUUCAGGUCCCGUUCGGAUGGAUUCUUGGGUAUCCUUAAAAUGAGCAAAUUCAGAAGGGAGGGACUUGAGGUCUUGUGAUUGAACAAGGGUUUUAAUACUUGCCAUUUUUCUGGAUGGUAGCUAUUGGCAAGAAAAGCUGGAAUAAUGGCAAUUGAGAUGGGGAGAUUUGAGUGUGAGUGGCAGGCAUGAAUGGAGAAUGUGUACCUAUUUAUACAGUGUCAAGCGCUCCAGCAAUUUGACUCUCAAGCGUGCAGGAUUUUGGAAAGUCCCUGAGACAGGAGAACAUGACACCUGCCUAGUCAAUAACGGAGCACAACACCUCCCUAGUCAGCAAUUCCCACUUUUCACUUUUCAGCUUUGAGCACUAAGGUUCAUCUAGAAUUCUAGACAUUGAUAAUUAUAGAUGGCCGAGACGGAAGGUUACUUAACAAAGAAAAAACUGCUAAAAAUUUUGUAGGGAAUCAGAGACAAUGAGCUCACUUGUAUGAUGUAUCCUAGUAGCUGCGGGUCUUUUGGUUAUAAUGGUGUGAUAGUUGAUCAAACUCAAGAAAAUAUCGUAUCGAUCAUUUCCUUUAAGAGUUUUGUUUCUUUACUUUGUCACUAUAAGGGCCUUUUUUUUUUUGACCUGCCAUCCUUCUCCGUAUUAUUUCUACUUCCAACCGUCAAAUCUAGGAUACCUGGUAGGGAAGAGAGCGUUAGGAGUUUUUUUCUGACCGGUGGACCAAUCCCGGUGGUUAGGAGGACUUUCUUGGUUUAGUGACAAGGAUAGAAUGCUUGGGUCUCUCAUUCUCCUUAGACGUGGCUUUUUUUCCUCCUGGCAUUGCCGGGGUCAUCAAGCUGGUAGAAGUAAUUUUACUAGUUUCAUCUACCUUAGACGUCACAUUCUUUCUUUUGCCGGGGUCGUCAAGCUGGUAGAAGAAAUUUUGUAAGGAACUGAGAUUGUAGAGCAAUUCUGGCCAACAAAGGCGUGCUUGAAUAUUGGGCUUUUUCUCCAAGCAAGAAAAACCAAAAAAUUGACAGCAUGAUCAACAGCUUUCAAAUCCUGUAUCUAUCACUCAUGUGUUGCGCUUCAGAAACUUGUAUGCUAUCGAAUUCCUUAAGAAAUUAAUAUAUUUAAACUCGUCUCAAAUUUCCAUGGCUCAAGAUAUUCUCGUUUCUUUCUUCAGAAUAUAAUAUAACAAAAGUUUAAAUGUAGUACAACUGAAUUAGAAUAUAGUGUAAUGAAAAUUAAAAUAAAUAUUUUGUCUCAAAAUAGAUAUAUACAACAAAAAAAAUAUAAAUAUACACAAAAUCAUGUAUAAUAUACAACAAUCACAUAAUUGUAUCCGAUUCCCCACUAUAUACGUCAAAGACUUAAAGUUGCUUUUCGUGCCUCCUGAUUUUGAAUUGGCAGGUCUCUGCGUAUACCCCUUCUAGAAGCAACCUAACUUUUUUAUUUGAGUUCAGAAGCAACAUAGCUCAAUAGCAGUACCGGUAAAAAUUCUACGAUUUGGUGUCCCAUUGCCAACUUUGAUCAAAGUAUGAACCCACCAUGUCCACGUCAAGUACACUAGAAGACUAUAGCUCCUCUGAUGAAAUCAAUUUAUUUGCUUUCACUUUCUAGGAUCAUACCGUCUUUACUGGUGCAUGAGCUGCCCACGUAUACGGUACACCUUCAAAUUAAAGAAUAUAAUUGGCGAACAUUUUCUAAACGCCUUCCAUCACCGGGCACCGACUGCAGUCCCUCAAACACAAAGGCCUUAAGAUCUAACGUCACUAUUUUCGGAGAAAAUUCUAAAUUCUCAAAAUAAAAAAAAUCAAGAGAAGAUCUAGUACACUUGUACCAUAUAAAUGAAGUAAUAAACGUUGGUCCUUGUAUUAGAUUUCCAUUUUUGUUUCCUAGCACCUACCGUUGUAGGUUUAUCAAUUUUUGUUUUAAAAAUCAUUCUAGCCCAGAAAAGUCAUCAAGUUUUUUCUUUUUCCUUUUUGGUAAAUCUUUUUCUUUCUAAAUGUCAUGAAGUCAUUAUAGUCUUCAAGACUAUUAUAUAUGCUCUAUGGAAAUGGAAAGGCAUAAAUCUAAGAUGUAAAGGACAAAAGGUUGGCGACAUAUUGGAUAGUGUCGAUGAAAGUAAUGGCAUAUGAAACAAAAAAGAAAAACACUAGCAAAGGCACAUGUUAUAAGAAUUAGACAAAACACAUACAAAGUUAAACAUGAAAACGGUGAUGAAUACAUUCAUCCUAGAUCCUUCUGCAUGAAGAGAACACCAUCAACUUCUUCUAAGAUGUCCCAUCCACUUAAUCUGACUUACUCAGAUUACCUCCAAAUAAUAGCCUCAGAAUAAAAGCAAAAUGAGGUACACAUCUUUCCGGAACAAGUUUCAUCGAAUGCCUUGAAAGCAAUAUUGAUGUGGAACACAUUGGUAGGACAUUUCAGGACAAAAUGGAUCGAGCAAAGGGAGGAAAGAAGCAUGUCACGUGCAGCUGACUUCAUCACCGGCACCAGACUUCGUGUGGUUGUUGUCUGACGAUAAUUGGUCUCAAAACCAGCGCCAUAUCCAACGUCGGCCAUUGUCCGUUUCAAUUUUUAUUUUUAAAUUCUUUUCCAUUUUGAUUGUAAUUUCAUAUCCUUUUUCAAUUAGACUUUGUUGCUUAUACAUAGGGAUGUAUUAAGGCUUUGUUUAUUAGACUUUUAUCAACUUUAAUAAAAUUAUCUUGGUUUUUGCCAAUUUCUCUCAAGUUCCUUCAAGAUUUAAGAUUCUUGUGAAUUUUCUCAAGAGUUGAUCAUGAAUCGCUCCUUUGUUUCCUUCGGGAAUCAUUUGUGAAAUAAUUUCUACCCGCUUUUGCAUCAGUUGGUACCAUAGCAGGUUUCUCCUAUUCCUAAAUUAUAUCAAUGGCUGUUAACAAAUCCAGUUAUGGAUCUUCUGUCUCUAAAACUGAAGUGCAGAUUCAAAAUGAACAUUUGGAUCAUUUGGAGUGUGUUUGCAACAAUUUCUGAAGUCAUUUCAAUGACUUUGAAACUCAUUUUACUUGUGUGCAAGGAGACCUUGACAUGCUGAUUCAACACUUGGGUUUGCCAGACAACUGGGGACAAAAUCAGCAAGGUGAUCGAGAUGGGAGAGUGCCUCUUGACCAGACCUCGUCAAUGUGAAACAACCAAAUCCAUGUAGAGAUCAGACCAAUGAUAAUCCUCAUAGAGACAAGGAAUAUAAGGGUGACUCGUCUGAGAACGGGAUAGUUCUUGCUUUUGGCUGCGAGAACUGCAAUCAAAGAGGUUUUCAACGUUGAUUGCUGGAACUAAAGGAAUUCAAGUUAAAGGUCAAUGUCCCAUGUUUCAAUGGUAACUUGGGCAUAGAGAACUGAUAAGUUUGUAUUUUGAGUGAUUUAAGUGUAUUUUAUUAUUUAGUUUUGGUCUGCUUUAGUCAUUUUUAUCGCUAAUUAAUUAGGUUUCUAGUGAAGUUUACAUUUUGUGAUUCAAAGUGUGAAAAAUUGCAUUUCUAUGAAUUAAAAUAAUAAAAACUUUAUAUUUUGUAGGUUUCAAUCAUUCAAUUAUCAAAUGGAAUUAAUUGAAAAGAUAUUUGGAUGUAUGCUGAUGAUUUAAAGAGAAUAUGAAGUGCAAAAUGAUCAUAAGAUGAAAUGCAAUCAAGUAUAAAAGAAAGGGAGUUUGACAGUUUUAACAUCUGUUGGUAUUUCGACUAUAUCUCGAGCUAUAAGUAUCAGAUUGAGGUAAUUCUUGAGACAUUUUGAAACUAACACGUAUCUCUAUAAUUAUUGUGAGAUAUCAAAAUCGUUCAUGAAUUUCCUAGUCAAAAUGUCAGAAUAUAGUUGGUCAUUUCUGUUGUCAAAAACUAAAACAAGGUUUUGACUAGUCAAAGUUAUUUUGGUAAUUUCUUAGUAUACAGAACUCCAAAUUGGAUUAUUCUUAAAGCGUUGGAAAGCUAACUCAAAGGUUACAACUUUCAUGUUUUAUACAAGAGCUAGUUCAGCUUCUAUCGUCAAAAAAAUAUCAGUGGAAUUUGGUGCAAAUAUGGAGCAAAGUUGAAGACUGAUUAGAAAUGAGAAAACCUGCACGAGAGGACAAUUCGUGACCCAAUACACGACCUUAGCCCAUGUUUUGAUGGUGCAUAUACGUAUUUUUGCUGCUUUACAGUUGGAAUUAGUUGCACUUCAACUUGCGGUUCUUUCCCACUACUUUUGAACCAAUUUUCUGAAUGGAUUUUAGCUGGAAAGUGAAAGAGGCAUUUUGAAAUUUUGGAGAAACAACUUUUGGGAAUCUCAAGACACAACUAGCACUAACUUUAACAACUCAUUUGUUGCUUGAAUUUCUCUAUAAAUAGGUGUCUUAGAGAACAUUUUUCAUAACUUUGGAAGGCUAAAGACACUACCAAAAAUGUAGUCUUCACUAGUUUUUCUUAGUUCAUUAGUAUAGUAUAAUUAGUGUAGUUUAUCUAUCUUGUAUUUGUAGCUAGAUUUGGAUGAAUAUUAAGGAACAAGAUGGAGAAUUGAAACUCAUGUGACAAAGGUGACUUCUCUCCUAUCACUUUCUUUUUUGUAUUUGAGUUCAUGUUUAACUAUAAUACAAGUAUGGUAUUUUCUUUCAUUCUCUUCAUGUUUUACUAAAGUUUAUGGCUUGAGUUAUGGAUGAACUUUCUAUAAUUUGUUAUUGAUGUUUAAUUGGUUAUUUGAUGAUAUUAUUUUGAACAAGUUAUUUAACACUUUUGCUUAUCUAAUCAUGAUUAACUGGCCAUUAAUUGUGAAAAUCUUAAGGUAUUAAGUUUGCAAUGAGAGUUGAAAUUUAACACUAGUUCAAGAAAGUGUUAAACGUAGGGAGUACACUCACAAGAGUAGAGGUGUAUUUAUGUGGCUUUAGUGACUUGUUUCAUCUAAUGUUAUAGAAGAAAUGAGGUUGUAAAUUAAUUUCAUAACCAUGAGAGUAGGUAUGACUUAGUUAUAAGUAUAGGUGAUUCACUAUGAGAGUAGGUUUCAUAUGUAUUAGGAAAUUACAUCGUAACGAGCCAAGAUAAUAACAUUCAAUUAACCGAUAAUUUCACUUGUAAGAGUAGUGAGACAUUCCAUAGCUCUAGGAGCUUUCUAUUGUUACUUUUAUUACUUUUGUUUCAUGUUUAUAGUGUAGAUUUAAUUUUUGCACUUGUAAUAGCUUAAAUAAUAAAGGAGUUCAAAAACCAUCGGUAAUUGACAAUCUUUCCUGUGGAUUCCACCCUUAAUAUCCUAUACUCAAUCACAACCUAUAUACUUGUAGAAAAUCGCAUGUGGGGUAUUUAAAAUUUUAGAAAUGCAAAGCUUGACUGUAAAAUGAGUUUAAUUAUUAUAUGCAUAUGCUCGCUCAUCACUAUUAAACAAGUACAAGGUCUUUAGUUUGCUCUAUUAUCUAGACUAAUAUCAAAUUAAAAGCAAUAAAAAGCAAUUAUUUCACUAAUUAAUAUUCUAAAUUAACUUGUAUAGAAAAAUAAAUGGAGAAAAUGCACCAAAACUAAAGUUUAAGGGUGUAGAAUCCAUUGUAAUGGUCUAAAAAUACAAGUAAAUAAAUUUACCUCUUUUUACUACUUUUUACUAACUAGGGAUUUAUUUCCAACAGUAAUCAAAACUCAUUCUCAUGAUGUAUGAUAUUAACUAGCCUAGUCUUCCUUAGUCUCAUGGUAAAGAUGUAAAUCUAGUUCAUUUAAUACAUGAAAUGUUCAAGCAAAUUAACUUAAUUGUACCUCUACAGAUAGGGUGUAAAUUGUAGUGUGUUUAUAGGUAAAAGUUGCUAGGUAACCAUGUUAUUUGAGCUUUAUUUUGUAUAGAAAUUACUUAAUUUUGCUUGUAUAUUGUUCUAAUAAGUGAAAAGCUCAGUUGAAGUGAAAAUGAAUAAAAAAACAUGGUAUGAAGAAGCAAUGAAAGAGGAAAAAAGUCAAGAGGAAUGGGUUUGGCAGGAUUGACACAUUUCAGUAUUUUGGUGAUAACUUAAGCUACACAAAUCUAAUUGAGAUGAUUCUUGAUUCAGUUCGAAGCUCUGAGAAUUCUUUAUGAGAUAUCAAAGUCUAAUUCUCAAGUUUUCAUAGUCAAAAAUCCAAAUUACUGAAGUCUAGUUGUGCUGUGAUGCUUUUGCAACCAGGUCUCAGUAUUUUAGGCAUAUCUCAGUGCCCAGACUUUUAAAUAACUUGAUUCUUGUGGUGUUGGAAAGUCUAUUCAAAGAACUACAACUUUUGUAUUUUUAGAAAGAAUUGAUUCUACCUAUUUGAUGGAGUUUUGAGGCUUUCAAAAGUGAUCCACGUGCUGACCGGUACGGAUCCACUGGCGGAUCCAUGUUCAGCGCCGGACUUCACAAAUGACUUCACGCCGAACAUCUCUAGACCCUUUUAUGCUUUGUGCUUAGUCCAAUGACCAGCACCAAACAUUGGCCUGGUCUUCAUCGCAUAAAUGUGCAAAAAUACGAUUUUUUGAGUCCAAUAGAGCCUAUUCCUACCCUGUUUAGGAUAUAUCUUCAAGAAACUAUAAAUAGGGGUUCUUUAGGUCAUUUUUAGGGUAAAAAACAUUAGUCUAUCCUAGUUUAACAUCUUUUUAUAAUUUAUUCUUGAGAGAUCAAGAUCAAAUGGAGGCGAAUCAAGGAGCGCGCAAAGAGAAGAUUGGAGCAAGUAACUGAGAAGUUUUCUUACUCUUUCUCUUAUCUUUGUAGCAACUUUUUGAAUUCGUGGUUUUAACCUCUAAAUCAUGUUGAACUAAAUUGUUCCUAGGGUUAGAAUUUUAAUGAAAGAAUUUGAUUAAUUUUUCUAGUUUAAUUUCUUGCCUUUUACUAUGAUUUAUUUAUCUUGUUCUUAAUGCGUGUUUAUGCCUGAUUACCAUGAACAUUAAUGUUGGGUUUGUAUCAAAUUGAGAAAAGAAAUACAACCGUGUACUAGACAGAUAAACACAUAGAGACUAAUCACGAGAGUAAGUUGGGGUAUGUGUGAUGCACCUAUGUCACUGGGAAUCUUAAUGGGUUCAAUUGAACUCUUAUAACCAUCAAGAGAGGCAUAGGAUUUAAUUAAACACACUUUAGAUGCAUCAAGAGGUGGUCUAAAAUAUAGUUGUGUGAUGCAUUCAUAACUUGGUAAGAAAUUAACUAGAUAAUUGAUUCAAAUUCUAAAUUAAACCUGAAACCCUAGACUCACGUCUAUUGUUUUCUCACCACUACUUUAUUUAAAUUGAUUGUUUCUUUUAUUGCUUAGAAAAUACACUCCUUAAAUUAUAAUUUUGUUAUUUUGUUAGAAUAAUUAAAGUAGAAAAUUAACUCAUCCAUGUGGGUUCGACCUUGAAAUACUCCAAGUAAAUUAUUACUACAAUUGACCCUAUGCAUUUGCAGGAAUUUGUCGAUCAAGCUUUUAGCACAGUUGCCAGGGAACGACGCUUAAUUUUUCUACUUUGGUAUUUUUUAUUUUAUUUUUUAUCUUAUUUUGCUUGUAGUUCUUCACUUUUAGUUUUGAUUUUUCUUGCUUAUGUGAUUGGUGUAUGACCCAAUUUCAAAAAGGCGAUUUGGAUUUUGAUCCAAAAAUUGAAAAAACUGCAAAGUAUUUGAGGAAGCAAACUCGCUUGCAAAAACAAACUUUGCAACUAUCUUUCACCAGGAUUUCAUAUUACCUUAGAAAUAGUUGAGUCAAGCAAUUCUGACGAUGAAGAAAUGGCUGAGGAAAACAGAAAUAAUGGCAAUAAUCAACAGUAGGUAGUGCAACCACCUGCAGGACUUCGCCUUUGGGACAUCCAACAUCUUGUAAUCAUGGCUUUUUCCCACUACAUCAAGCUAAGUGGUGAAGCAAGGAAUUAUGAGUUCAAAACUGUACACUUCAGCAUGUUGCCUGCUUUCCAUGGUUUAGCCAAUGAAGACCCGCUCUCUUUCAUAAGGAAAUUUUAUUUGGUUCUUCAAACUUUCCAUUUGAUUGGAGUCUCAGAAGAUGACUUACGAAUGAGGUGCUUCCCUUAUUGUCUCAAGGAUCGUGCAAAAUCUUGGUUAUUUCAUCUAGCUGAAAGAUCUUUGAGGGCAUGGGAAGAUAUUUAUAACAUCUUUAUGACCAAGUACUACUCACCUUAGAAGACCAUCGAUUUAAGAAACAAGAUUUGCAUAUUUUCUCAAAUAGAAGGAAAGCCAAUACAUGAAGUAUGGGAGCACUUUAAGCUACUAGUUUCUCAAUGUCCUCACUACCAAUAUUCAUUACUGCUGCAAGUGUAAUUUUUUUAUGAUGUGUUGACCUUAACAACCCAAAAUAUGGUGGAUAUUGCAGCAGGAGGGUAUAUUGGUGACAAAAUUCCGAAGGAAUUAGUUAGUCUCUAUGAAUUGUUUGCUAGCAGUUCUCAAUAAAAAGCAAUUUGAGGUAAGAGAGUAGGAGUGCAUGAGGUGAAUGUGCCACAGUAUUUGGGUUCACAGGUAGCUGAGUUGAGUCAUCAAAUGCAACAGCUCUUAAAUCGAGUAGCUCAAUCUCAAGAAUCAUGUGCUUAUUGUCACAUGUAUGGCCAUUCUGCUGCUAGUUGCUAUAAUAGAGAUCCUCCCACCAUGGUAGAAAAUGUUAAUUUCACUGAAGCAUAUGGUGGGCAGAAGUUUGUAGUUAAUGAAUGAUCCUUUUUCCACCACAUAUAAUGAAGGAUGGAGAAACCAUCUUAACUUUUCAUGGAAGGAUCAAGAGGUUAGGCCUAUGGGACCACCUGGGUUUCAAAAUUUGUAACAACCUUCUCAAUAUCCUCCUCAACCUACUCAGGAGAAGAAGUCCAAUGUUGAAGAAAUGAUGUUGUAGUACAUGCAAAAGGUAGACCAAAAGAUGAACCGGUUUGAUAAACUUGCUCAAUCUCAACAAACCUCCAUUCAAAUGAAAGGCAAGUUGGUUAGUUGGUAAAGGCAAUAACUAAAAGGGUACUAGGAAAAUUGCCUAACAGCACUAAGGUGAACCCAAAAGAAACUACUAUGGCUGUGACUCUUCGUUCAGGCAAAGUAUUGGAUGAUCCUAUCAUUAAACCCAAGACUAAACCAAGUGAAAAGCAAGAUAGGAGCAGAAUUGCUAUUGAAAGUGAAGGAAUUGGAGAUUCAGAGAAUGGCUCAUGCAAAAAGACUCAAGGUGAAGAUAAUCAAUGUAUGAAGGUGCUUAAGGUGAAAACUUAUGUGUCGCCCAUCCUUUUCCCCCAAAGAUUUAAGAAAAAGCAACUGACAAGCAAUAUCAAAAGUUUGUAGAGUUACUCAAGAAACUUCUAGUAAACAUGCCUUGUUCUAAAGUUCUUGCUAAUAUACCUGCUUAUGCAAAGUUCUUGAAGGAGAUAGUGUCUAAUACAAAGAAGUUAGAAGACUUUGCAGAGAUGUCUCUUAUUGAGGAAUGUAGUGCAGUGCUACAAAAUCAUCUUCCUAUCAAGAUGAAAGAUCUAGGGAGUUUUACUGUGCCUUGUCAAUUUGAACAUAUUCUUGUUGAUAAAUGUCUAUGUGACCUUGGAUCUAGUGUUAAUUUGAUGGCUCUACCAUUUUUCAAGAAAUUAAACUUUGCCAAUUUGGGGCCUACUCAAGUGAUUCUACAAUUGACUGAUCGUUCAGUGCAUUAUCCUAUUGGUAUUAUAGAAGAUCUAUUAGUUAAAUUCGAUAAAUUUUAUUUUUCUGCUGAUUUUCUUGUUCUUGACAUGGAGGAGGAUAUUUCUAUGCAAAUUAUCCUUGAUAGAGGAUUUUUAGCUACUGGAUGGGCUAAUAUAGACUUACUUGAAGGAAAAUUGACUUUAAGGGUUGGUAAAGAAAAAGAAGAAUUUAAUGUUUUUGAACCCUUAAAAUACCCUUCGUACGAGGAGUCUUGUUCCUAUAUUACUAUUUCUAACGAUUUGUAUGGUGAAAAAUAUGCAUUACAACAAGAUGUAGAGGUCACCCCCUUGCAAAAUCAUCAUGCAUAUUUUUCUUCAAUAGUUCAAAAGUACAAUGGAGAUGUGAAAAAUUAUGCAAAAUCGCAGGCACAUGCUAAGGAAAUUGUGAAAUCAUCCGAACCAUUUCAUCCACCAUAAUCAUUUGUGACCCUAUCUGGUUGAAAAUGUUAAACAUAGCGCUUCUCGGGAGACAACCCAAUUUUCUUUUUAAUUUCAUUUAAUAAUUUUCUUUGUUUAGGAUAAUGGUGGUGUUUAUUUGCUUACAAUUUUAUUGCUUUCUAGUUUGGGUUAUUUGGUGGUGUAUUGAACUCCUAUUUGUAGUGUUUUCUUGUCUUUUCAUAGGUUGGUAGGAUGGCUUCCUGAACUUGCCUAUUGAAUAGUAAUUAGCAACUUCUCGCACCCCACUUGAUCUUUGGCACUUCAUUUGUUAUCAGAGGAGCUUCACUUUCACCUCUUUUCUUGUUAUUAUUUCCUUAUUUUAUCCCCAACAUUGAGGACAAUGUUGUCUUAAGUGUGGAGGAGGAGUAAAUGGGUGAAGUAAAAUUUUUGAAAUUUUGGGCUAAAAUUUUUCAAAUUUUUAUUGUUGAGUCCCUGAUAGGCAAUGGCCUAUAUUUUGAGUAUUAUUGUUAAAGUGAUAUGUGUAUGAAUCUAUUAAGUCUUAAAUGAUAUUGAUUUAAAGUGCUUCUUUGGUGAAUAUUUGGUACUUUGAGACUUUUUAAAAUUUGGCUAACUUUUCUAGACAUUGUAAAUAUUUUUCAAAUAUUUUUCUUGUGAAUCUAGCCUAAUUAUUAAUUUUAGUUCUCCAUAUUAUUGGGAUAUGAAAUAGGCUUUUAUAUUCUUAUUUGUGCUUAUAUGCUUAUCUUGCUUAGUUGAAGUAUACUCCACUAGUUGUCGUUGCUCAGUAACCAGAGGUCUUCAACUAGAAGUGUCGACUUCGCGUCAAAAAGUGGCAAUAGCUAUGAGUAUGUGAUUUUUAACAGUGAAAAGCUUAGUAACCGGGCUCUUUCAUUAAGGAGAUGUUGGAGUUCGCGUCAAAAGGUUUAAACGGCUAAGAAUUAAGUGUAUUACCCUAGUUAAAAUGUGAAAAAUUUUAAGUGUGGGGGAAUUUAAAGAAAAAUAAAGAGAAAAAUAUGAAACAAAAAAGAAACAAAAUUAUGUGGAUAUAAUAAUGGUCUAUGGAUCCAUAUAGUUAUAUGUUUGAGAUUUUGUGUAAUAGUUGGGCCAUUUGUAAGAAAAUGCUUGUUAAAUAUUUUAUAUUCCUAAUUUAGUUAACCAGAGUUGAAAGUGUCGAUGAUGUUUAAAGGUAAUCGAAGAACCAUAACUUUGAUUUUCACUAUUAGCACUUGACACUUGUUUAGAAUGGUUGAUUUAAUAAUGGUAGUCUUGAAUAUAGCCAUUGUUUGGAUUUAAUAGAUUUUAUUCUUGUACUUGAGGACAAGCAUGGACUAAGUGUGGAGGAGUUUGAUAGGGUGUAAAUUGCAAUGUGUUUAUAGGUAAAAGUUGCUAGUAACCAUGUUAUUUGAGAUUUAUUUUGAACAUAAACCACUUAAUUUUGCUCGUAUAUUGUUCUAAUAGGUGAAAAGCUCAAUUCGAGGGAAAAUGAACCAAAAACAUGGCAUGAAGAAGUAAUGAAAGAGGAAAAAGUCAAGAGGCAUGGGUUUGGCAGGAUUGACAUGUUUCAGUAUUUUGGUGAUAACUUCACCUACACAAAUCCGAUUGAGAUGACUCUUGAUUCAAUUCGAAGCUACAAGAAUUCUCCACAACUUUUAUGAAGACAUCAAAGUCCAGUUCUCAAGUUUUCAUAGUCAAAAAUUCAAAUUAUUGAAGUAUAGUUGUGCAGCGAUGCUCUUACGACCAGGUCUUAGUAUUUUAGGCAUAUUUCAGUGCCCAGACUUCGAAAUGACUUGAGCACUUGCUUUUCUCAUCGUUUCUUUUCAGGCUUUCUAGGUCAGAGUAAUUAUCUUCUUUUUUUAGUUAAAUUACUUAACAAUAAUAUAUAAACUGAAAAUUUGAUAUACAUGUGUUCCAAUUGAUAAUUUGCUUUUGGGUAUGAUUUUAGAUGUCAACCCAUUUUAGGCUUUACUUAGGGUUUAGAAAAUUGGUUCACUUAGAGGCUAGUUCCUUCUAUUCCUUCAAUAUGUGAGCAUAUCUCAAGGACUAGCUUUUGUUAUCCUUGAUUCUCAUAUUUUGAUAACAAUAUUGGUGUCUAAAGUGAUUAUAUCUUGAUGAAUAAAAUUCCAACUUUUCAUUUUCUUUUUAGUCAUACAUUUUCAAUGGGUGUUUUGUUUGUGCUUAACUCCUAUUGUCUACUUUGUGUGCUUCUCGAUGAAACAGAUGUUUGUGUAUUUGGACAGCUGAUUCUUAGUGUUCAAUGAUUCUAAUAAUUUGACCGUUAAUAGUUCUGAUAUUUAAAUUGUAUGCAAACUUGGUGUACUUAAGAGUUUGAUUUGAGGGGGGUCAAAGGGGACUUUUCUGACACCACUUGUUGCCCUUAGGAUGAAAUUGAAAAUUCAUGAAAAAUUUUGGGUUAAAUGUGAAAUUUUGGAUAAGCUUUUGGAAAAAAUUUGAUAGAAUUUUCUCUUAUAAAUUAACGAAACUCCCUGCUAGCAAAUCCAAAUUUCAACAAAUUCAAACACAAAUAAUAUUCGAACAUCCAGUCCAAGUAAUCUAUGCAUUUUCAACAACACAAAACCACAUAUAACACAAGUUUAUCUCCCUCAAACUUAGAGUACACAUUGUCCUCAAUGUGUAAAAAGAAAAAUCAAGAUAAAGAAAGUAAUACUCCACUAUUAUAGUGAUUAAAAUGCAUACACAUGAAGUUUCACAAACCAUUCUCUGCAAUUCUACAAAUACUGCAAUUAUAUCAAAAUAGAAAACCUUAUGAGUUCCAUUUUUUAUCAUUAGUAAUGAAAAGAUUGAAAAAUAAAAACAGAAAACAACUACAAAGGUUCAAGUAAUGCAAAAGCAAUAAAGGCAUGAAGAAUCUUCACGAAUAAUGACUAGCCUUUGUCUUAUUAUUGUAUCUAUAUAAAAUAGACAAGAAACUAUUUAAGGUGCAAUUCCACACAUCACUUCUUAUGCAUCUAAACUCAUCACCCAAAAUACCUAGAGUAACAAUUACAAAGCAUAUGUCCUCAUGGAGGCAUUUACAAGAUCACCAUAUCAUAACUAUUUAGGAGCAAAGUCAAAAUAUGAAUAAUAUCCUAUACACAUAUUCAAUUUCAAUGCUUAAAAUGCCACACAAAUUGUUAAAUUUUCAAAUUUUCAAAAUUCAUUAUCCAAUCACUCUAUGUGAAGAAUAAGUAAUAAUUUGGUUCAUUACAACACUUAAACUUCCAUUUAAAUGCAUCAUUUUUCAAACUAGAUAAAAUAGCCAUUCUCCAAAGCUUACAAAUUCAAAAUUUCCAAAAUGUCAACAUAUAAUGAAUGUAUAUUUGUAAGCAUCAUAAACAAAUCAUAUUUCGGUUAUUUAAAUCAUCCAAACAUGCUUAAUAACAUUCCUCAACAACGGCAUCAAAAACUUAACGAGACUUUUACUUAACACCAAAUAUUUAAAACCAAAAUAAUAUAUUUUCUACAAAUAUAUAGAUCGUUAUAUUAGGUAUCAAUCUCAUGGGGAAGAUUGUCAACUACCGGUGGUAUUCGAACUACUUUAUUAUUUAGACUAUCACAAAUAAAAUAAGUAAAUCUAAACUAUUAUCUUGCAACAAAAGUAAUAAAAAUGACAAAAAUGAAACUCCAAGGGUAAUGGAAUUCCUAACUACUUUUGCAAGCAAAAAUUACUGGUUAAUUCAGUUUAUCAUCUUAGCUAAGCCAUAGCUGAUUUCAUAAUGCACAUGAUACUUGCUUUUGCUAGUGCACCAACCACACCUAUAACUAUCAUUCACCUACAUUUCAUGAUGAAGAAACUAGUUAUAGAUUCAUUAAAUUCUAUGAAAUUACAAGGUUCAAACGAUAAAGGUAAUUCCCUACUUUUGUGAGAAUACUCUCUAGAUUCAACACUUCCAUGAACUAGUAUUAUAUCAUAAUUUUCAUUGAUGAUACAACACCUUUAGAACUACAAUUUAUGUAUCUAUUGCACAUAUACAUUUAAAUGGACUAUAAAUUCAAAUUGUAAAUUGUGUACACAUUUGUAUUUUUUCAUGACUUGAUUUAAAAUAUUGCUUUAAAUAAGAACUUCUAACUAAUCUUGCUUUAAAUAUAUUACUAUUUUCAUCAAGCAGCUUUACAUUCCCUAUCCACAUUUUGAUGCCAAUCUAAUAACAAUCUAUCUUUAAUUUAUCUUUGUUAAUCUGGGCAACUUGAUGCACAGAGUCGGCCAUAGAAAUUAGUUUACUAUAAAUUUACAUUUGAAGCAGAGACAACUUAUAAUUUUGUUUCUUGUAUAUCAACAGUUUACAAUCUUUAGUCUCCUUAUAAUACUUUUACUUUUGUAUACAAUUUUACAAAUUUAUCACUCAUAUUUUUAAACAAAAUUUUCCUUAAGAAAGUUUACAACAAUUAUGAAGUAGCUACUAUAUUUCUCAUAUUCAUUAUAUAUUCAUUUUGACCUAUGGAAAUUUUAUUCUUGACUCAAUAUUUUUUGGUUUCAUAAACAUAUAUUAGGUUUUAUAUUUGUUUAAUUUUUUGUCAUUUAAUGCCUUUUGACUAAUGAAUUAAUAUCACUCAUCAAAUAUAUACAUAGGAAUACAUAUAAUAAUUAAUGUCCAUAUAUAUUUUACUGUGUUUUUUUUUAAGUGGGAGAUUUUGAAUCUAUAACCUCCUACUUACAACCUCCCACUUAUAUUCUCGCCCACCUUACCAUUCAACCAAUCCUUUGCCCCAUUUUACUGUAUUGUUUAUUUGUAGUUCAAAGUAAAUUUUCUUUUUUUUUUUCCUCCUAAGGGAGGAGUGUGACUUAAGAAGUAGGGAAGGAAUAGGGAGAUUUGCAAUGUAAAUUUUCUGGUUACUUUUUACAAGAUAUAAACUUUUCGGUAUAUAAAGUAUACGGGUUUUAUAAUAUAUACCACAUGAAUCAAUCAAUCAAGCAUCUUAAUUAAUAUGCUUUGCAACAAAACACAAUGAUGGAACCAAAGAUUUGAAUUGUUAAAAGAAUCCUUGUUGCAAAUUGUGGAGUGCAAUUGCAAUAAAAAUUUAUCAUAACUAUUCAAUGAUUUGGUAUAUUUUCACAAUAAAUGGUUUCAUCAUUAUCAAUCAAGGAAUGGAUUUUAUACCUUAACUUUGAGUCAAAAAUGUUCUUGGACUUUAGAUCAUGCUAAUCCCUUUUGUCAAAAAGUCAAUAUCCACUAAUUUGGUACUUACAGGAUUUUUCAUCUUCUUUUGAGGGGAUUGAUACUUGUGGUUUUAUCUUGAUUGAAUAAAUAACAAGUAGAACUUCGGAAAUCUAUUCAUGCUUCUGUUUAUUGUUUGAGCUAUGGGUAUGGAGAUCCUCCUCCCAUUGCUUGGUUGGAGACUCAAAUUAAUUACAGGGAUAGUGGUGCAAAGGUCUGAAUAUCAGUGCUUUUCCUUCCGUUCAAGGCAAUCUACUGAUUGUUUGCUAAGCAAAUUAUUCCCUCCAAAGAUAAAGUGAAGAGAAAAAGAUACUUGUAUCAAUUGAAAAUGAAAUUGGGUCCUACAAUUACCAAAAAUGUUUGGGUGCCAUUUUAGCAAAUAUUGAAAAGGUCAAUUUUGAUCAGCCAAACAAGGUUCAAAGUUUUGCUACUAUUUUUAUUUUCCUUUUUCAAGCCCAAAAAGUUGUUGUUUUGCCGAUGAAUUAAGUUGCUUCUGUGGCAUAAUCUUGACCGUUGAUAGGUUGACUUUUAAUCUUAGAUAUGAAAUCAUUGCAAAUGGAACUUGUGAGGCCCAGAUCACUCUGUUACUCAAUGUCUUUCUCUUGUCGGUAUUUGAUAACUAGAUAUAUUAUAUUGAUGAGCUCCUUCUUUAUUGUAGAGGGGAUGACUCCUAUUUAUACCAAUUAUCUUAUUUUCAAAGGUGUUGUAUACGGAGAGCUUCCAAGAAAUAACUUACCCAUACAAGAGAAGAUUAAACUCAAGCCACUAUUGUCCCUAACAUUGCCUAAAAUAUUGCACAAAAUUGCUAAGAUUACAAACAACUCUUUUAACAACUUUUGAAAGAAACCAGAGUUUUGUACACAAUCACAUUCACUCAAGCCUAAGGUGACAAAAGAAUUAAGCCACUUAUGAGCGCUUGCGAGUUGGUUUAGUCAAAGUUCAAUUUGAACUCAAUCAAGUUGACCUCAAGUCGACCAAGUCGAGCUAUCGAAGUCGAGCCAAGCGUAGAGAAAUUUAACUCAUUAGCUCGCGAGCCAACUCAAUAUAUAUAUAUAUAUAUGUAUGUAUGUAUGUAUGUAUGUGUACAUAUAUAUACACAUAUAUUAAUUUUAUUUUAAUAGUGAAAUUACAUAUAUGUCACUAAUAUUUUUAUUAUUUAUUAAGAAUAAAUGUCUAUUUUAUUCAAUGUUCAGAAAAAUAAAAUAAUUAUUUUUUAUUUUUUUAAACUCAAGUAGGUUCAAAAUCGAGCUCAACUAGGCUCAAAUUUGUGGCUAAACUCGAACUCGAGUUUUACAUUGAAACUCAUCAAGUUCAAACUCGAGUUCAAAUUUGGUAAACUUGAAUCGAGCUCGGCUCGAUUAAGCAAAAUCUCAACUCGACUCGAUACGUUUGCAAUCCUAUCAAGACUAUGCAAAAUUAGAUCACUAGAAAUAAAAAGGACUUAAGUUUUUAUAAGAACAAUAGUCAUUUGAAUUAACUUUCUAUUGGAUUUUGAGUAGGUUAGAAAUCCUUUUGCUUCAAAGAAUGUUUUGAAAGAAUGAACGCAGACAUCAAACUCUACUCACAAGGAAAACAUGGAAAGAAAUUUUCUUUACUAGUAAGAGUAUGUUGAUUUCAAUUGAAAGAUUGAAUAUGGACAACAUAAUGGACAAGUGAAAAAUUUUGAAUUCAGAAUCAACAAAAUCUAUUAUCAAUUUGAUGAGGGAAUUAGACUUGAUAUUUGACUACUAAAGAAGUUUGAGAGAAUCGUUAACCUUCGCCUAUGGUAAAAGUAUUUCUUUCUAGAACCUUUUUCUCCUUCUUCCCUUUAGAGCUCUUCCGGUCAAAAUCUCUUUCAUCUCUCCUAUGGGAGAGAGACUGUUGAUCUUAAUCUCUGUCUUUUGAUAUUUACAAAACAAAUGAAUAGUACUAAUAUCUCCUCAAAGAUCCUUUCAAUUAUGAAGUAAAUCAGGUUCAAAAAUCAAAUGCAAUUGAAAGAAAUAAAGCUUGCUAAAAACUGUCGGAUGCUUGUGAAGGCAAGAUCGAACGUCCGAUAAUCAUUGCGCAACUUCGGACGCAUGAAGAACUCCAUCACCGAACGUCCGAAGGAAAUAAGACAUUCUCCCUAACUCACUGAUCUCGAUCGGAAGCAAGCAUCAGACGUCCGAUAAGAUCCUUCAAAUUUGACGAAAACUGUCGGACGCUCAAAAGACAAUACCGGACGUCCGAUAGAAUUGAGAUAUUCCUUCUAAUUCAUUGUCUGCUUUCGGACGCAAGCACUGGACAUCCGAUAGAAUUAAAGAAUUUCUCUCAAACUUACUGCCUACUGUCGGACGCGAAAUUCAGACAGACCGGACAUCCGAUACCCCAAUAACUAGUUGACUGUUCAACUACUUUCUAUUCGUUGGAAGCAUUAAUGAAGCACUUUUUUGGUCUUGUAUAAAUAGUGCAUGUUCAGAAAUUUCAAAUAACUUUUGUAAACUGAAAAUACAAAAGAUCUAGAGUGAUUUUAAUGAAAAAAUACUCUUCAAAAAAGAUUUAUAGCCUUGGUGGUG
Molecule: long non-coding RNA, 20295 nt
Filed under: Coffea arabica (coffee)
Lineage: Eukaryota; Viridiplantae; Streptophyta; Magnoliopsida; Gentianales; Rubiaceae
Description: long non-coding RNA (CARA_LNC004186)
Source: RNAcentral